Molecule: ribosomal RNA, 2306 nt
Filed under: Listeria monocytogenes
Lineage: Bacteria; Bacillati; Bacillota; Bacilli; Caryophanales; Listeriaceae
Description: bacterial LSU rRNA
Rfam family: Bacterial large subunit ribosomal RNA
Source: RNAcentral
UUGGUUAAGUUAGAAAGGGCGCACGGUGGAUGCCUUGGCACUAGGAGCCGAAGAAGGACGGGACUAACACCGAUAUGCUUUGGGGAGCUGUACGUAAGCGUUGAUCCAGAGAUUUCCGAAUGGGGGAACCCACUAUCUUUAGUCGGAUAGUAUCCUUACGUGAAUACAUAGCGUGAGGAAGGCAGACCCAGGGAACUGAAACAUCUAAGUACCUGGAGGAAGAGAAAGAAAAAUCGAUUUCCUGAGUAGCGGCGAGCGAAACGGAAAGAGCCCAAACCAAGAAGCUUGCUUCUUGGGGUUGUAGGACACUCUAUACGGAGUUACAAAAGAAAGUUAUAAAUGAAGCGGUCUGGAAAGGCCCGCCAAAGACGGUAACAGCCCGGUAGUUGAAAUAGCUUUCCCUCCAGAGUGGAUCCUGAGUACGGCGGAACACGUGAAAUUCCGUCGGAAUCCGGGAGGACCAUCUCCCAAGGCUAAAUACUCCCUAGUGACCGAUAGUGAACCAGUACCGUGAGGGAAAGGUGAAAAGCACCCCGGAAGGGGAGUGAAACAGUUCCUGAAACCGUGUGCCUACAAGUAGUUAGAGCCCGUUAAUGGGUGAUAGCGUGCCUUUUGUAGAAUGAACCGGCGAGUUACGAUUUGUUGCAAGGUUAAGCGGAAAAAGCGGAGCCGUAGCGAAAGCGAGUCUGAAUAGGGCGCAUAAGUAACAGGUCGUAGACCCGAAACCAGGUGAUCUACCCAUGUCCAGGAUGAAGGUAAGGUAAUACUUACUGGAGGUCCGAACCCACGCACGUUGAAAAGUGCGGGGAUGAGGUGUGGGUAGCGGAGAAAUUCCAAUCGAACUUGGAGAUAGCUGGUUCUCUCCGAAAUAGCUUUAGGGCUAGCCUCGAGGUAAAGAGUCAUGGAGGUAGAGCACUGUUUGGACUAGGGGCCCUUCUCGGGUUACCGAAUUCAGAUAAACUCCGAAUGCCAUGUACUUAUACUCGGGAGUCAGACUGCGAGUGAUAAGAUCCGUAGUCGAAAGGGAAACAGCCCAGACCACCAGUUAAGGUCCCCAAAUAUAUGUUAAGUGGAAAAGGAUGUGGGGUUGCUUAGACAACCAGGAUGUUGGCUUAGAAGCAGCCACCAUUGAAAGAGUGCGUAAUAGCUCACUGGUCGAGUGACCCCGCGCCGAAAAUGUACCGGGGCUAAACAUAUUACCGAAACUGUGGAUGAACCUCUUUAGAGGUUCGUGGUAGGAGAGCGUUCUAAGGGCGGUGAAGUCAGACCGGAAGGACUGGUGGAGCGCUUAGAAGUGAGAAUGCCGGUAUGAGUAGCGAAAGAAGGGUGAGAAUCCCUUCCACCGAAUAUCUAAGGUUUCCUGAGGAAGGCUCGUCCGCUCAGGGUUAGUCGGGACCUAAGCCGAGGCCGAUAGGCGUAGGCGAUGGACAACAGGUAGAGAUUCCUGUACCAGUGCUAAUUGUUUAACCGAUGGGGUGACACAGAAGGAUAGGGAAUCGCACGAAUGGAAAUGUGCGUCCAAGCAGUGAGUGUGAGAAGUAGGCAAAUCCGCUUCUCGCGAAGCAUGAGCUGUGAUGGGGAAGGAAAUUAAGUACGGAAGUUCCUGAUUUCACGCUGUCAAGAAAAGCCUCUAGGAAGAGUAGUACUGCCCGUACCGCAAACCGACACAGGUAGAUGAGGAGAGAAUCCUAAGGUGAGCGAGAGAACUCUCGUUAAGGAACUCGGCAAAAUGACCCCGUAACUUCGGGAGAAGGGGUGCUCUAUUAGGGUGCAAGCCCGAGAGAGCCGCAGUGAAUAGGCCCAGGCGACUGUUUAGCAAAAACACAGGUCUCUGCAAAACCGUAAGGUGACGUAUAGGGGCUGACGCCUGCCCGGUGCUGGAAGGUUAAGAGGAGUGCUUAGCUUCGGCGAAGGUACGAAUUGAAGCCCCAGUAAACGGCGGCCGUAACUAUAACGGUCCUAAGGUAGCGAAAUUCCUUGUCGGGUAAGUUCCGACCCGCACGAAAGGCGCAACGAUCUGGGCACUGUCUCAACGAGAGACUCGGUGAAAUUAUAGUACCUGUGAAGAUGCAGGUUACCCGCGACAGGACGGAAAGACCCCGUGGAGCUUUACUGCAACCUGAUAUGGAAUGUUUGUACCGCUUGUACAGGAUAGGUAGGAGCCGAAGAGACGUGUGCGCUAGCAUACGAGGAGGCAAUGGUGGGAUACUACCCUGGCUGUAUGACCAUUCUAACCCGCCACGCUUAGCGCGUGGGGAGACAGUGUCAGGUGGGCAGUUUGACUGGGGCGGUCGCCUCCUAAAGAG